RNAcentral lists this ribosomal RNA (637 nucleotides) under uncultured bacterium. RNAcentral describes it as "bacterial SSU rRNA". It matches the Rfam family "Bacterial small subunit ribosomal RNA", at positions 607 to 1243 of the family's 1533-position model. The record is from RNAcentral.
GAGCAACCGAAGAAGUGCAUCGGAAACUGGGAAACUUGAGUGUAGAAAAGGACAGUGGAACUCCAUGUGUAGCGGUGAAAUGCGUAGAUAUAUGGAAGAACACCAGUGGCGAAGGCGGCUGUCUGGUCUGUAACUGACGCUGAGGCUCGAAAGUAUGGGUAGCAAACAGGAUUAGAUACCCUGGUAGUCCAUACCGUAAACGAUGAAUGCUAAGUGUUGGAGGGUUUCCGCCCUUCAGUGCUGCAGCUAACGCAUUAAGCAUUCCGCCUGGGGAGUACGGCCGCAAGGCUGAAACUCAAAGGAAUUGACGGGGGCCCGCACAAGCGGUGGAGCAUGUGGUUUAAUUUUUUUUUUUCGCGAAGAACCUUACCAGGUCUUGACAUACUAUGAAAAUCUAAGAGAUUAUACGUUCCCUUCGGGGACAUGGAUACAGGUGGUGCAUGGUUGUCGUCAGCUCGUGUCGUGAGAUGUUGGGUUAAGUCUCGCAACGAGCGCAACCCUUAUUAUCAGUUGCCAGCAUUAAGUUGGGCACUCUGGUGAGACUGCCGGUGACAAACCGGAGGAAGGUGGGGAUGACGUCAAAUCAUCAUGCCCCUUAUGACCUGCGCUACACACGUGCUACAAUGGAUGGCAAACG